This is a long non-coding RNA of Mus musculus (house mouse), 2235 nucleotides long. RefSeq annotates it as RIKEN cDNA 9130214F15 gene. The transcript has 4 exons. The record is from RefSeq and is a predicted model, not a curated record. Lineage: Eukaryota; Metazoa; Chordata; Mammalia; Rodentia; Muridae.
UAGGUAAUGCAGUUUGUGUUUUGUCAGUCAAGUUGGAGGACAAGUAGCAGCUGGGAUCGCGCCUCACUCUGCAGAAGAUGGAAGACGUGAGGAGGAAUGCGCAGUUACAUUUCCGAUCUUCUCUUUAAGGAAAACCAAUCCAACUGGCAAACCCACAACAAAUAAGACAGAUGAAAAACGAAGAGCAGGAUUAUCUUCCCUCUAUUAAAUGUUGUUGCAAACACCCCAUUAUGCCACUUAUAGUCCCCAAACCCCAAUAAUCAUGCAUUUGUUCAUCUAGCUUCAAAGUAACUAUUCUUUACUAUGUAGCCUUUCUAUGGCUGCACUGGCUCCCUCCCCGAAGAACCCCCUGAAACCACACCCAGAGCUACUUCCAACCUCCCUCUUAGCCAGGCCUUUGUUUAUCUCUUUGUUUAUCAGAAAGGACUGAAAUAACUAACUAGCUAGCCUAGGGGAAGACAGAAGUUGCAGUCAUGAUUGUCUACUCCCCCUUAGCAGAGGCCAGCAGAGCCCACAGCACAAUGGAGCACUAACUUCCAGACAUACCCACUUAGUUUGGGUGGGGUGCACCUGGAAGAGAGCACACCUACAGCAAAAUGAGGGUGAAGUGGCACCAGAUGACCUUUGUCAACGAUUGCCCAAGAGGUUUCUGAAACCAGUUUCUCCAGCCUUGUAGAAAUGUUUGUUUAUGCAAGAGGCUGUUCUCAGGAUCCAAAGGUCAGCCUCCUUUGCCAAGGCCACCUCCUCCAUAGAAGGAGCGCUUCUGACUUUGUCCUUCCUUGACCGCUCCCUGGUGAUCAGGGCUCCUACCUGAUUGUCACAGCCUGACCACUAACUUAGCUUUUGAUCGUGCCACCCACUACCUCAUCUUGAGGAUGGCUACACUACAUCACCACAUCACCAGUGUCCAGGAGUUGUGAAUACAGAGAGGCAAGGUCAUUUCACUAGUGCAGGUUGACCUGUGAUAUUUGCCUUAUGUAUGUGUAUCACCUCUGGCUAAUUAGCUCUGUGCAUAGCGAGUGCUCAGUAAAUGAGAACUGGUGAGCCGGAAGGAAUCUGCCAAGGAUAAAUAGUGAAGAAAAGCCUGUGGAUGAGGCCCCUCCUUGUUGGUAGAAUUGUGCAGGCACUACCGUGGUUAUGGGCUCAACUAAGUGAGCUGUGACAUCAGCACUGCUGAGACCAGGCAGAAGAGAACUGUGACAUCAGCACUGCUGGGAUCAUACAGGAGAGGACUGUGACGUCAGCACUGCUGAGACCAGGCAGAAGAGAACUGUGACAUCAGCACUGCUGGGAUCAUACAAGAGAGGACUGUGACAUCAGCACUGCUGAGACCAGGCAGAAGAGAACUGUGACAUCAGCACUGCUGGGAUCAUACAGGAGAGGACUGUGAUGUCAGCACUGCUGAGACCAGGCAGAAGAGAACUGUGACAUCAGCACUGCUGGGAUCAUACAAGAGAGGACUGUGACAUCAGCACUGCUGAGACCAGGCAGAAGAGAACUGUGACAUCAGCACUGCUGGGAUCAUACAGGAGAGGACUGUGAUGUCAGCACUGCUGAGACCAGGCAGAAGAGAACUGUGUCAUCAGCACUGCUGGGAUCAUACAGGAGAGGACUGUGAUGUCAGCACUGCUGAGACCAGGCAGAAGAGAACUGUGUCAUCAGCACUGCUGGGAUCAUACAGGAGAGGACUGUGAUGUCAGCACUGCUGAGACCAGGCAGAAGAGAACUGUGACAUCAGCACUGCUGGGAUCAUACAGGAGAGGACUGUGAUGUCAGCACUGCUGAGACCAGGCAGAAGAGAACUGUGACAUCAGCACUGCUGGGAUCAUACAGGAGAGGACUGUGACAUCAGCACUGCUGAGACCAGGCAGAAGAGAAGAUAGUAUUUCUAUUAUAAUGCAUGGAGUGUUUUUGGAAUGUCACAUAAAUAAUAUGUCUUAGUUCCCUCAUCCCUACACACUGUCUCCCAGUCAGAAUUCUGGGCACAGUCAGUCCCUCUGUGGGCUAAACUUCAAAAUGGACAUCUGAUUAACAUUGUAAGGGGCACUACUCUGAGAUGGAUCUAUCCCUUAACCACUGAGACUGUGGUCUGCUCAGAGAUUGAGGAUGCUCACCGGGGACUGACGGUGACCUCAUAGACUAAGAGAGCUGGGUCAAGCAGCGCAAACCAGGAGCCAUUAGGCAUCAAGGACAACGGAGAAGCAGUUUCCUUAGACAUCUGAGCCCACCUGGAAU